UAACAUGGUAAGUGUACUGGAAAGUGCACUUGGACAAAC
This 39-nucleotide ribosomal RNA is filed under the name Hylobates muelleri (Mueller's Borneo gibbon). Its description in RNAcentral is "partial 12S rRNA". Lineage: Eukaryota; Metazoa; Chordata; Mammalia; Primates; Hylobatidae. The record is from RNAcentral.